UGUGCUCAUCCCUCUGCAAAGCACAGGGGUGCAGCAGGUAGCCCCUCUGCCCGGAUGGCUGCAGGCAGGGGCUGCAGACCUUGUGGAGGGCUUCAGGGAGGGAGCGCUGCUGCAGCUCGGGAGAGGUGCAGGGCUGGGAGCGGAGGCAGAGCUGACAUCUGCUUGUCAGCCCAGCAGCCGCUGUCUCUUCAGGUGACCUUGAGCACACGCCGUCAGCAGCACACUCGGAAAGCCUCCUCUGCAGCAAGGAUUAUGAGACCAACCCACCUCACAGGAGACAUCAAUAAUUGCUGAGCCUGUGAGUACGAAUUGUCUCUUGAAAGGAACUAAGAGACCUCGUGAGCACCGAGGAAAAGAAAAUGCAACUUGGAGAGACAGUAACCUGACAGCUUCCCCGUCCAAAAAUAUCUUGCAGACUCCUAAUUGCACAGAUUGCUUCUGAUUACAUCAGGUAGCACCAGGAAGUAGGUUACUCUGCAGCGGGGAGAGGCGACAAAAUAAGAGGAAUUCAGGCUACGCUCUCUUUGAUCAAACUCUGGUUCACCAAGACUCUCAUUUCUGACAACAACAAAAAAAAGAACGACGACGACGACGAGACACAGAAACACCUGCAUCAUCACAAAGCAGCACCAUCGCCAGCAUGACUGCUUUAUCCACACUGGUCCCUACUUCAGCUCCUGCUGCUCCUUUUGUGCAUUGUGACACCCAACACUGAGGAAGCAGGGACAUAUUUCAGAGAGCUGGUUCUGCUGAGACAGGAGAAUAUUCUCACUUCCAUGUGUUUGCCCUUCUCCAGCUCAAUUCACCAAACAUUGUCUUGAACAGAAAGCAACAAUGGCUGGCAAAGUAUCACCAAAGGGGAGUGAAAUCAAGGUCAUGAAAAUCAGGAAGAAGCCACAAAAUUAAGACAAAAGCCUCCAUAGAGGUUAUUGGAGGGUAUGGAUUUGCCUGAGAGUGUCAGAAAGGGUCAGGCCUUGUACUGGAUAGGAUGCUGGCAUCUGACAGAAUGCAGAUUAGCUGCAAAGCCAAAUUUGAGAAUGGCCUAUUUUUAACAAGACUACAUAUGCCCUCCUCAGACAGAGGUUCCAGAGACUGGAGAGCUAGUGUACAUAAUAUAGCAAAAAUAUACUGGUUAAAGCACACGGAGCUGCAGGGUUGUCGUUCCUUUUUCUGAGGGAUGUGUGGAGAAAGCAAGAACGUCAAAUAACAGCGCUAGAUGCCGAGUCCUGAGAAAGGCUCGGGCCUUCACUCAACUUCAGGUUUCAAAAUCAGCUGGGAAGGCUGGGAUGUGCUU
RNAcentral lists this long non-coding RNA (1294 nucleotides) under Numida meleagris (helmeted guineafowl). RNAcentral describes it as "lncRNA (ENSNMEG00000012796.1)". The record is from RNAcentral. Lineage: Eukaryota; Metazoa; Chordata; Aves; Galliformes; Numididae.